This 72-nucleotide transfer RNA is filed under the name Loxodonta africana (African savanna elephant). It matches the Rfam family "tRNA". From Rfam's summary of the family: Transfer RNA (tRNA) molecules are approximately 80 nucleotides in length. Their secondary structure includes four short double-helical elements and three loops (D, anti-codon, and T loops). The record is from Rfam by way of RNAcentral. Lineage: Eukaryota; Metazoa; Chordata; Mammalia; Proboscidea; Elephantidae.
CUCUGGGUGGUGUAAAGUGUUAACACACUUGGCUUCUAACCGAAAGGUUUGAGGUUCAAGUCCACCCAGAGG